This 168-nucleotide ribosomal RNA is filed under the name uncultured Herpetosiphon sp. RNAcentral's name for it is "partial 16S ribosomal RNA". It matches the Rfam family "Bacterial small subunit ribosomal RNA", at positions 337 to 522 of the family's 1533-position model. The record is from RNAcentral. Lineage: Bacteria; Bacillati; Chloroflexota; Chloroflexia; Herpetosiphonales; Herpetosiphonaceae.
UCCUACGGGAGGCAGCAGUUAGGAAUUUUGGGCAAUGGCCGCAAGGCUGACCCAGCAACGCCGCGUGGGGGACGAAGGCUCUCGGGUUGUAAACCCCUUUUGGCGGGGACGAUGAUGACGGUACCCGCCGAAUAAGCCCCGGCUAACUACGUGCCAGCAGCCGCGGUA